CUUGUGUCAAAAUUUCAUAGAUUUCUAUUAACUUAAACUAAAGUUAUAGUACGAAAACCAAGAAAAUGCUUAUUUGGGCCCUUUUUGGCCCCUAAUUCCUAAAAUGUUGGGACCAAAACUCCCAAAAUCAAUACCAACCUUCCUUUUGUGGUCAUAAACCUUGUGUUAAAAUUUUCAUAGAUUUCCAUUCACUUUAACUAAAGUUAGAGUGCGAAAACUAAAAGUAUUCGGACGCCGGACGACGACGACGACGACGACGACGACGACGACGACGACGCCAACGUGAUAGCAAUAUACGACGAAAAUAAUUUCAAAAUUUGCGGUCGUAUAAAAACUUAACACUGUGCAAUGAACCGUGCAAUUGAGGUUAUGGUCAAAUAAAACCUGCGGGACUGACAUAUAGAUCAUAAUAUAUUUCCAUACACCAAAUAUAGUUGACCUUUGGCAUAUAAUAUUAGAUAAAAAGACCAAAAACUUAAAAACUUAACUUUGACCACUGAACCAUGAAAAUGAGGUCAAGGUCAGAUGACAUCUGUCCGCUAGACAUGUACACCUUACAACCAUUCCAUACAACCAAUAUAGUAGACUUAUUGCAUAAAGUAUGAGAAAAACAGACCAAAACACAAAAACUUAACUAUAACCACUGAACCAUGAAAAUGAGGUCAAGGUCAGAUGACACCUGCCAGUUGGACAUGUACACCUUCCAGUCCUUCCAUACACCAAAUAUACUAGCCCUAUUACUUAUAGUAUCUGAGAUAUGGACUUGACCACCAAAACUUAACCUUGUUC
This 789-nucleotide long non-coding RNA is filed under the name Mytilus galloprovincialis (Mediterranean mussel). Lineage: Eukaryota; Metazoa; Mollusca; Bivalvia; Mytilida; Mytilidae. The record is from RNAcentral.